AGUGCACGCUGGCGGCGUGCCUAAUACAUGCAAGUCGAACGAGUGGCGCACGGGUGAGUAAUGCUUGGGAAUCUAGCUUAUGGAGGGGGAUAACUACGGGAAACUGUAGCUAAUACCGCGUACCAUAGGAUGAGCCAAAGUGGGAUUAGGUAGUUGGUGAGGUAAAGGCUCACCAAGCCGACGAUCUCUAGCUGGUCUUAGAGGAUGACCAUCCACACUGGGACUGAGACACGGCCCAGACUCCUACGGGAGGCAGCCGUGGGGAAUAUUGCGCAAUGGGGGCAACCUGACGCAGCCAUGCCGCGUGAAUGAAGAAGGCCUUCGGGUUGUAAAGUUCUUUCGGUAGCGAGGCGUUAACUACAGAAGAAGCACCGGCUAACUCCGUGCCAGCAGCCGCGGUAAUUC
RNAcentral lists this ribosomal RNA (405 nucleotides) under uncultured bacterium. RNAcentral's name for it is "partial 16S ribosomal RNA". It matches the Rfam family "Bacterial small subunit ribosomal RNA", at positions 29 to 526 of the family's 1533-position model. The record is from RNAcentral.